CAUGCAAGUCGAGGGGCAGCAUGAACUUAGCUUGCUAAGUUUGAUGGCGACCGGCGCACGGGUGAGUAACACGUAUCCAACCUUCCGUUUACUCAGGGAUAGCCUUUCGAAAGAAAGAUUAAUACCUGAUAGUAUGGUGAGAUUGCAUGAUAACACCAUUAAAGAUUUAUUGGUAAACGAUGGGGAUGCGUUCCAUUAGGUAGUAGGCGGGGUAACGGCCCACCUAGCCUGCGAUGGAUAGGGGUUCUGAGAGGAAGGUCCCCCACAUUGGAACUGAGACACGGUCCAAACUCCUACGGGAGGCAGCAGUGAGGAAUAUUGGUCAAUGGGCGAGAGCCUGAACCAGCCAAGUAGCGUGAAGGAUGAAGGUCCUACGGAUUGUAAACUUCUUUUAUACAGGAAUAAAGUUCCCUACGUGUAGGAUUUUGUAUGUACCGUAUGAAUAAGCAUCGGCUAACUCCGUGCCAGCAGCCGCGGUAAUACGGAGGAUGCGAGCGUUAUCCGGAUUUAUUGGGUUUAAAGGGAGCGCAGACGGGAGAUUAAGUCAGUUGUGAAAGUUUGCGGCUCAACCGUAAAAUUGCAGUUGAUACUGGUUUCCUUGAGUGCAGUUGAGGCAGGCGGAAUUCGUGGUGUAGCGGUGAAAUGCUUAGAUAUCACGAAGAACCCCGAUUGCGAAGGCAGCUUGCUAAACUGUAACUGACGUUCAUGCUCGAAA
This 715-nucleotide ribosomal RNA is filed under the name uncultured bacterium. Its description in RNAcentral is "bacterial SSU rRNA". It matches the Rfam family "Bacterial small subunit ribosomal RNA", at positions 54 to 758 of the family's 1533-position model. The record is from RNAcentral.